Molecule: RNA transcript, 2738 nt
Organism: Cottoperca gobio
Lineage: Eukaryota; Metazoa; Chordata; Actinopteri; Perciformes; Bovichtidae
Gene name: serine/arginine-rich splicing factor 2-like
Exons: 4
Source: RefSeq, a predicted model, not a curated record
GAGCAGAAGAAGUUCACUUCACGCACUGGUUUGGGGCAGUUGUUGAACGCGAGGCAGACGGAGUUGUGCGGGAAGAAGUCGCUUAUUUUGCGGUUGCUCAGCCUCUAAUACCCAACAGGCGAGGCGAAUCCAUUUAAAUUGCACCCUCGCGUGUGUGUGUGUGCGCGCGGACCUUUACGAACAGGUAGGCUCUAUCGAAGAUAUAAACUGUUGAGAGGAAGGCUGCUAGGCCUCGCAGGCUAAUCGCCAUGAGUUACGGUAGGCCUCCGCCAGACGUCGACGGCAUGACUUCCCUAAAAGUGGACAACUUAACGUACCGAACGUCGCCAGAAACCCUCCGACGGGUGUUCGAGAAGUACGGCCGGGUAGGGGACGUCUACAUCCCCCGAGACCGCUACACGAAAGAAAGCCGCGGAUUCGCGUUUGUGCGUUUCCACGACAAACGUGACGCCGAGGACGCGAUGGACGCCAUGGACGGCGCGCUUCUUGAUGGACGGGAGCUGCGUGUCCAGAUGGCCCGGUAUGGCAGACCCCCUGAUUCCCACUACGGGGGCAGCGGCGGCGGCGGAGGUGGUGGUGGCGGCGGCGGAGGAGGAGGAGGAGGCGGCGGCGGCGGCGGCGGUGGUGGUGGAGGAGGAGGCCGACGAGGAGGAGGAGGAGGUCCGACCAGGAGGUAUGGCGGCCAUGGACGUCGAAGCAGAAGCUCUUCUCCCAGCCCGAGACACAAGAGACGCAGCCGUUCCCGCAGCAGGAGCCGCUCUCGCUCCCGAAGCCGAUCCCGCUACAGCAGAUCCAGGUCCCGCUCCUACUCCCGAUCCAAGUCUCACUCUCCCAGGAACAAGAAGGCCAAGGCCAAGUCCCCAUCUCGUUCAAGGUCAAGGUCCCGGUCCAAGUCUAAAUCCAAGUCCAAGUCUAAAUCCAAAUCCAAGUCUAAAUCCAAAUCCAAGUCCAAAUCCAAGUCCAAGUCUAAGUCUAAGUCCAAGUCUAGGUCCAGGUCCAGAAGCCGCACCCCCUCCAGAGGGUCCCGGUCGAGAUCUAAAAGCCAGCCCAAGUCUGCAGCAGAAAAUGGAGGCGAAUCUCCUUAGCGCUCAGCAUCAGCUGCGGCAUCCUGUUUGCUAAAGUGGAGUUUGAGCUGAGCUGAGGCAGUAUGAGCAGUUAGAAGGUGUGUGGUGAGCUGCCCAGGGGCCGCCUGCUGCUGCUGGUGAGGGUUUCUGUGCAGCAGGGUGGUGGAGGCAGUCAGAGUUGGGGUUUGGUGUUGAGGUACGUCCAUCUGUGUCCGCCACCGGACAUAAAACUGUCCUCCAGGUCUCGUCCCCAGCCGGGGGGCGCUGGUGCUUGAGGGGCGCCGAGUUUUCAGGUGACGACUGAACGCUUCAAGUCCCCGACUGGAUCCAACCCAAGCAACAGUGUCCUGCUGUAAAAGGUUAUUAUUGUGUCUUCCAUGCUUUGCUUUGUUUGUUUUAUUCAUUUGGCCAUAAAAAAAAAAGGCUUUGUCACUUCAUCGAUGUGCUGUGAUUUUUGAUUUUAUUUUCGUAAUGAUUUUAAAAAUCUGGUUCAAUGUGGAGAGGAACUACUGUAAUGACAGGAUAUUAAACACGUUAGGUUUGUGCCUCUGCUUCACGUUCUUCCCCCCGCGGGCCCGUAUCACGAAGCGAGAACGCAGCGCGGCUUCCUUUGACUUUCCUGCUUUUGUUCAACUUCAAGAAAAUUUGGUCCCCAAAUGACUCGAUCCUGCGUUUCCGUCACAAAUACAACUUCAGAUCAGAAGUGGUCCGUUGAUUACACGCUUUGUUUAUUAGAGGUAAAAGAUGCUCAAGAAUCCUGAUGGAAUUACACUGAAGUGUCAACAUUUCUAGAGCCGCAACGGACUUUUAUUUUCAUUAUCGAUUAAUCUGUCGGACAUUUUCUCAAUUUAACUCUUUAGUCUACAAAGUUUUUGCUCACAAACAAUUUUCCAAAUGUUCUUUUGAUCAAUACAUUUCACUGAGGUUUCGUUCAUGCGUCUUGUUUGCAAGUCGAGAUCCUGUAGAAAUGUAUUUUAGUUGACGGCGAGCCGGCUGAUGUGACAACCCGUUCCCCUCGCUUCAUGCCACGGGCCCGUGGUGUCGGCACACGUUCUUGUUCCAAGAUAAAACGACAAAAUCCACACCAACCUUUAAAAUUAAUUUUUUUCUUUUCAUUUCGGUGCAAACAAUUCAUUAAACUGAAGUAAUCCCUAAAAACAAAACCAGUUCCUUAGGAUCUUUAAUUUCUGCAGCUCAGGGCGUCUUUGUGAGACAGGACAGCAGACCAUUUUAACUCCUGUGAUAAAUGUGUUCCAUGUAAUUGCAUAAAUAGUAAACAGUGACCGGGGUUGAUGCAUCAGUUUGAAGAUUGUUUCACAGAUUUUAAGGUCCUUAAAUCUUUUGUUGCCGGGGCCUCAUUUACAGGACUCCAGACAUGUCUUUGUGGUUCUUUCUUUUCUUUUUUAAAUUUUUUGAUCCUAAUUCUGCUUGUAUGUUUGUUUUGUGCACUAGGCGCAGUUGUGUAGCAGUUGAGUAUUGCUGGUUAGCUGUUAAGGUGGCGUGUUGCUCUGCUGAGUGCUUGGAUGUAUCCAGUAUUCUCCAGAGUGCUCCUGAGACUACCAGUCGUGCUGUGCUGCAGUCUCACCUUUUGUAAGAGGAAAUGCUUUUUUUUUCCCACAUGGUCAUGGAUGAUAAAUGUGACUUUCAUUAAAGAUUUGGUGUUUUGUCUAAAAA